GGGGAACAUUGCACAAUGGGCGAAAGCCUGAUGCAGCAACGCCGCGUGAGUGAAGAAGGUUUUCGGAUCGUAAAACUCUGUUGUUAGAGAAGAACAAGGAUGAGAGUAGAAUGUUCAUCCCUUGACGGUAUCUAACCAGAAAGCCACGGCUAACUACGUGCCAGCAGCCGCGGUAAUACGUAGGUGGCAAGCGUUGUCCGGAUUUAUUGGGCGUAAAGCGAGCGCAGGCGGUCUUUUAAGUCUGAUGUGAAAGCCCCCGGCUUAACCGGGGAGGGUCAUUGGAAACUGGGAGACUUGAGUGCAGAAGAGGAAAGCGGAAUUCCAUGUGUAGCGGUGAAAUGCGUAGAUAUAUGGAGGAACACCAGUGGCGAAGGCGGCUUUCUGGUCUGUAACUGACGCUGAGGCUCGAAAGCGUGGGGAGCAAAC
This 426-nucleotide ribosomal RNA is filed under the name uncultured bacterium. RNAcentral's name for it is "bacterial SSU rRNA". It matches the Rfam family "Bacterial small subunit ribosomal RNA", at positions 356 to 773 of the family's 1533-position model. The record is from RNAcentral.